CCUACGGGUGGCAGCAGUGAGGAAUAUUGGUCAAUGGACGCAAGUCUGAACCAGCCAUGCCGCGUGCAGGAUGACGGCUCUAUGAGUUGUAAACUUCUUUUGUACGAGGGUAAACCCCUAUACGUGUAUCGGGUUGAAAGUAUCGUACGAAUAAGGAUCGGCUAACUCCGUGCCAGCAGCCGCGGUAAUACAGAGGAUCCGAGCGUUGUCCGGAUUUAUUGGGUUUAAAGGGUGCGUAGGCGGUUUGAUAAGUUAGAGGUGAAAGGUCGGGGCUCAACCCCGGAACUGCCUCUAAUACUGUUGGACUAGAGAAUAGUUGCGGUAGGCGGAAUGUAUGGUGUAGCGGUGAAAUGCUUAGAGAUCAUACAGAACACUGAUUGCGAAGGCAGCUUACUAAACUAUAUCUGACGUUGAGGCACGAAAGCGUGGGUAGCAAACAGGAUUAGAUACCCCAGUAGUC
RNAcentral lists this ribosomal RNA (460 nucleotides) under uncultured bacterium. RNAcentral describes it as "partial 16S ribosomal RNA". It matches the Rfam family "Bacterial small subunit ribosomal RNA", at positions 338 to 795 of the family's 1533-position model. The record is from RNAcentral.